AUUUAAAUAGUUUAAAUAAAAUAUUGAUUUGUGGAGUCAAAGUUAAAAUUAUUUUUUAAAUU
Molecule: transfer RNA, 62 nt
Filed under: Eupelmus sp. ZJUH_2016012
Lineage: Eukaryota; Metazoa; Arthropoda; Insecta; Hymenoptera; Eupelmidae
Description: tRNA-His
Source: RNAcentral